Non-coding RNA from Coniella lustricola, 113 nucleotides. NCBI's taxonomy places the organism in Eukaryota, Fungi, Ascomycota, Sordariomycetes, Diaporthales, Schizoparmaceae. The record is from the annotation of a GenBank genome assembly.
GGUCCCGUAGCUCAGUUGGUUAGAGCGUCGUACUAAUAUUCCUCAACGAGGUAUAUUACGUAACAAAGCUACGUCUAAUGCGAAGGUCGCGAGUUCGAAACUCUCCGGGACCA